CUAGUGGGUAAAUAAUAAUAGCGGAUUCGAUGUGAACUGAAAAAUUAAGUUUUCGAACCAGGUAGGUUCUAUUUAGCUAAUAGGCUUUUGGUGAUAAUUUAGUAAACAGAUUAAUGAGCGAUAUAAUUUCAUAACAGAGGAAAUAUUUAUAAAAUUAAUAGAAACGUAUAAAAACGGAGAGUUUUAAAUUUACCUAAGGGGGGGGUCAUGUGACCAUUAGAGAAUCGAAUAUGUAUUCGUAUAAUUAUGGUUAAAUUUUGCAAGGUUUUAAUUGCUUGUUAACUUCGUAGUAGAUCAUAAAGAGGAGUAAUUUCGAAGAGAAAGCGGUGCUUAAUGGAAAUUCGGACUGCCGUAUUCGGAGAUUUUCAUCUAGAACUUAUGCCGAUACGUAAUGUUGAUCAUCUAAACUGGGAUUGGGUAUGAAAGUUAAUCAGGAAAUCGCGACUUUUAAGAUCGGUAAGUGGUGUUAAUUUAGAAUUCGAUGUACUUAAAUUUACAAGAAUUGAUGCUUUGUGAAAUAUUGUUUCAGAUAUUCAACUCGUGAAUUAGAUUGAUAUUAGAAACUAAUGGGAAACGACUAAAUAACAUUCAACGUUGUUGUUGGCUGGAAAAUCGACUGUAAUUAUUAUUAGGUAAGUUGGUUUGAUUAAUUUGUUUGAUUAAUUUGAAUUCAAUCGAAUUGAGCUAAUCGUGAAUAAUUUAAUAGGCUUCGAGUAGUUUGUGGUUAAUCUUCAAAAUACUACUGAGGAAUGGGAUCGAAGUAAUAGUAAUAUGUCUCGGUAGUUAUCAAAACAAUUGACUUGUUAAUUAAUCAGCUGUAAUUUUGUUUAGGGUGUACGAAUGGAUGAAUCGAACGUCGAAUGAUAUGAUUAUGGAUGUUUUCGAAAGCUUAUCAGGAAGUUAAAUGCGAAUCAAGAUGAAACUUUAUCUUUCAGGUAAACGAAUAAGGAUAGAUGAUGAUCGCGAAAUUUGAAACUUCGAAGAAGCUAUUAACGUACGAGCUCAUCACAAUGGACGAUUUUAAUUUAAUUAGCAAAUCACGAAAGUUAACGAACGAAUUUGUAGUAAUGUUGGUGUAAGGAUUAAAUAAACAAAGUCUUGCUCUUCUAUAAGCAUACGAGCGCAUCGCAUCGGAUGAUUUUAUUAAUGGCAAAUCAGGACGUAGAAUCGAACGAUUUAGUAAGUAAAUGGAAUUUAUGUGAAGAUGAUUUUGAGCUGAUCGUUGAUUACAAUUAUAUCUUUAAUCGAAUCAAUCUAAUUAAAUCUUGGUGGUUAUUCCAGGUUAGAGAUCGCGAGCUAGGUAAAUUUGAGUAAUUUAGAAUGAGCUUUAGAAACCAUUUGCUAGUGAUUAUAGUGAUAUCGCGAACGUAACGUUAUUUAGAAUGAUCGUUGAUCUGAUCGAUAAUUUCGGUGUAGGGACUAAAUAAACGAUGUCUAAUGUUAUUUAAUCGUUUUAGGUUGAUGGUGGAUAAUUUAGUGGCAUUUAAACACGAUUAUCAUCGAUUGAGGAGUAAUAAGUAAUUUGAAGCCGAAAGAAUACGGUAAUUUAAUAAUCACGAUUUGAAAAAUUAGCUACUGAGUCGAAUGGUGAGUAAUAAGAUCGAUUUAACAUGGGAUAUUCUAAUGUUUAAACGAUGUCUAGUUUUAUUUAUUUGUAGGGACUAAAUAUACGAAGUCUAUCGUU
Planococcus citri (citrus mealybug) is the source of this 1684-nucleotide long non-coding RNA. RefSeq lists it as uncharacterized. NCBI's taxonomy places the organism in Eukaryota, Metazoa, Arthropoda, Insecta, Hemiptera, Pseudococcidae. The transcript is spliced from 2 exons. The record is from RefSeq and is a predicted model, not a curated record.